CUAAUUUCAAAAUCUUAUUGACCAAAAACACUAAAACAGUCCUACCUCCUAAGUGUCAUGUAUCUGAUGGAGAUGGUGCUGGAGGGAAACUCAUAGGAUUCAGCUAUGAGAAAACACAUACCCUAUGCUAAUCUCACGCUUUCAUCUUUCAAGUAAACCCAUACCCCCUAACAGCAGUGUCCAGUAAAGCAGGAAGUCUAAGGAUGGGGUAAAAGGGUGGGCCACUGACACAAAUCACAUAACCAGAAC
Non-coding RNA from Pelobates cultripes (western spadefoot toad), 249 nucleotides. NCBI's taxonomy places the organism in Eukaryota, Metazoa, Chordata, Amphibia, Anura, Pelobatidae. The record is from the annotation of a GenBank genome assembly.